RNAcentral lists this ribosomal RNA (253 nucleotides) under uncultured bacterium. Its description in RNAcentral is "partial 16S ribosomal RNA". It matches the Rfam family "Bacterial small subunit ribosomal RNA", at positions 524 to 776 of the family's 1533-position model. The record is from RNAcentral.
UACGGGGGGGGCAAGCGUUGUUCGGAAUUACUGGGCGUAAAGGGCGCGUAGGUGGCCUGCUAAGUCGGAUGUGAAAUCCCUCGGCUCAACCGAGGAACUGCAUCCGAUACUGGCGGGCUUGAAUCCGGGAGAGGGAUGUGGAAUUCCAGGUGUAGCGGUGAAAUGCGUAGAUAUCUGGAGGAACACCGGUGGCGAAGGCGGCAUCCUGGACCGGUAUUGACGCUGAGGCGCGAAAGCUAGGGGAGCAAACGGG